UACGGGGGGUGCGAGCGUUGUCCGGAAUCACUGGGCGUAAAGGGCGCGUAGGUGGUCUGAUAAGGGUGUGGUGAAAGCCCGGGGCUCAACCCCGGGUCGGCCGUGCCGACUGUUAGACUAGAGUGCUGUAGGGGCAGGCGGAAUUCCAGGUGUAGCGGUGAAAUGCGUAGAUAUCUGGAGGAACACCGGUGGCGAAGGCGGCAUCCUGGACCAUUACUGACGCUGAGUGAGCGAAAGCCAGGGGAGCAAACGGG
This 254-nucleotide ribosomal RNA is filed under the name uncultured bacterium. RNAcentral's name for it is "partial 16S ribosomal RNA". It matches the Rfam family "Bacterial small subunit ribosomal RNA", at positions 524 to 776 of the family's 1533-position model. The record is from RNAcentral.